RNAcentral lists this ribosomal RNA (231 nucleotides) under uncultured bacterium. Its description in RNAcentral is "partial 16S ribosomal RNA". It matches the Rfam family "Bacterial small subunit ribosomal RNA", at positions 89 to 334 of the family's 1533-position model. The record is from RNAcentral.
AGUAAAGUGGCGUACGGGUGAGUAACACGUGGAUAAUCUGCCCUAGAGUGGGGAAUAACGAUGGGAAACCGUCGCUAAUACCGCAUAAUCCCGAGAGGGGAAAGCAGCAAUGCGCUCAAGGAGGAGUCCGCGGCCGAUUAGCUUGUUGGUAGGGUAAUGGCCUACCAAGGCUGCGAUCGGUAGCCGGCCUGAGAGGGCACACGGCCACACUGGCACUGAAACACGGGCCAG